UGGGGAAUAUUGCACAAUGGAGGGAACUCUGAUGCAGCGACGCCGCGUGAACGAAGAAGGCUUUCGAGUCGUAAAGUUCUUUUAUAUGGGAAGAUAAUGACGGUACCAUAAAAAAAAGCCCCGGCUAACUACGUGCCAGCAGCCGCGGUAAUACGUAGGGGGCUAGCGUUGUCCGGAAUCACUGGGCGUAAAGGGUUCGCAGGCGGAAAUGCAAGUCAGGUGUAAAAGGCAGUAGCUUAACUACUGUAAGCAUUUGAAACUGCAUAUCUUGAGAAGAGUAGAGAUAAGUGGAAUUUUUAGUGUAGCGGUGAAAUGCGUAGAUAUUAAAAAGAAUACCGGUGGCGAAGGCGACUUACUGGGCUCAUUCUGACGCUGAGGAACGAAAGCGUGGGUAGCAAACAGG
Molecule: ribosomal RNA, 403 nt
Filed under: Fusobacteriota bacterium
Lineage: Bacteria; Fusobacteriati; Fusobacteriota
Description: Fusobacteria bacterium partial 16S ribosomal RNA
Rfam family: Bacterial small subunit ribosomal RNA
Source: RNAcentral